RNAcentral lists this ribosomal RNA (759 nucleotides) under uncultured Bacillus sp. RNAcentral's name for it is "bacterial SSU rRNA". It matches the Rfam family "Bacterial small subunit ribosomal RNA", at positions 57 to 798 of the family's 1533-position model. The record is from RNAcentral. Lineage: Bacteria; Bacillati; Bacillota; Bacilli; Caryophanales; Bacillaceae.
GCAGUCGAGCGGACAGAUGGGAGCUUGCUCCCUGAUGUUAGCGGCGGACGGGUGAGUAACACGUGGGUAACCUGCCUGUAAGACUGGGAUAACUCCGGGAAACCGGGGCUAAUACCGGAUGGUUGUUUGAACCGCAUGGUUCAAACAUAAAAGGUGGCUUCGGCUACCACUUACAGAUGGACCCGCGGCGCAUUAGCUAGUUGGUGAGGUAACGGCUCACCAAGGCAACGAUGCGUAGCCGACCUGAGAGGGUGAUCGGCCACACUGGGACUGAGACACGGCCCAGACUCCUACGGGAGGCAGCAGUAGGGAAUCUUCCGCAAUGGACGAAAGUCUGACGGAGCAACGCCGCGUGAGUGAUGAAGGUUUUCGGAUCGUAAAGCUCUGUUGUUAGGGAAGAACAAGUACCGUUCGAAUAGGGCGGUACCUUGACGGUACCUAACCAGAAAGCCACGGCUAACUACGUGCCAGCAGCCGCGGUAAUACGUAGGUGGCAAGCGUUGUCCGGAAUUAUUGGGCGUAAAGGGCUCGCAGGCGGUUUCUUAAGUCUGAUGUGAAAGCCCCCGGCUCAACCGGGGAGGGUCAUUGGAAACUGGGGAACUUGAGUGCAGAAGAGGAGAGUGGAAUUCCACGUGUAGCGGUGAAAUGCGUAGAGAUGUGGAGGAACACCAGUGGCGAAGGCGACUCUCUGGUCUGUAACUGACGCUGAGGAGCGAAAGCGUGGGGGAGCGAACAGGAUUAGAUACCCUGGUAGUCCAC